RNAcentral lists this small RNA (99 nucleotides) under Flavobacterium sp. A45. RNAcentral's name for it is "Flavo-1 RNA". It matches the Rfam family "Flavo-1 RNA". The record is from Rfam by way of RNAcentral. Lineage: Bacteria; Pseudomonadati; Bacteroidota; Flavobacteriia; Flavobacteriales; Flavobacteriaceae.
CCCUAGCCCGGAUAGUAGCGACAUCCUUCUUGUGGCCUCGUCUCGUCCCUAAAGACGAGACGAGGCCACAAGAAGAUAAAGCGAAUAGCCGGAAACAGC